ACAUGCCUACAACAUAGAGUUAAUGCAUUGGAUCCCAUUAGAACUAUGUGGUUAAGCAUGCUUAAGUUAGACUAGUACUGGGAUGGGUGACCACUUGGGAAGUCCUAGUGUUUUACAUGCC
Picea glauca (white spruce) is the source of this 121-nucleotide non-coding RNA. The record is from Rfam. NCBI's taxonomy places the organism in Eukaryota, Viridiplantae, Streptophyta, Pinopsida, Pinales, Pinaceae.